GCAAGUCUAAGUACAUGCCGKAUUAAGGUGAAACCGCGAAUGGCUCAUUAAAUCAGUUAUGGUUCCUUAGAUCGUACGUUUUUACUUGGAUAACUGUGGCAAUUCUAGAGCUAAUACAUGCAGCAGAGCUCCGACCUUCGGGGACGAGCGCUUUUAUUAGACCAAGACCAAUCGGACUUUGUCCGCACUCCACGGCGACUCUGGAUAACUUUGGGCUGAUCGCACGAUCUCGCAUCGGCGAUAUUUCUUUCAAGUGUCUGCCUUAUCAACUGUCGAUGGUAGGUUAUGCGCCUACCAUGGUCGUAACGGGUAACGGGGAAUCAGGGUUCGAUUCCGGAGAGGGAGCCUGAGAAACGGCUACCACAUCCAAGGAAGGCAGCAGGCGCGCAAAUUACCCACUCCCGGCACGGGGAGGUAGUGACGAAAAAUAACAAUACGGGACUCUCUUGAGGCCCCGUAAUUGGAAUGAGUACACUCURAAUCCUUUAACGAGGAUCUAUUGGAGGGCAAGUCUGGUGCCAGCAGCCGCGGUAAUUCCAGCUCCAAUAGCGUAUAUUAAAGUUGUUGCGGUUAAAAAGCUCGUAGUUGGAUCUCAGUUACAGACGGGCGGUCCACCUCUGGUGGCUACUGCUCGUUCUGAACGUCCUGCCGGUUUUCUCUAGGUGCUCUUCAUUGAGUGUCUAGAGUGGCCGGCACGUUUACUUUGAAAAAAUUAGAGUGCUCAAAGCAGGCGUUACGCCUGAAUAAUGGUGCAUGGAAUAAUGGAAUAGGACCUCGGUUCUAUUGUGUUGGUUUUCGGAACACGAGGUAAUGAUUAAGAGGGACAGACGGGGGCAUUCGUAUUGCGACGCUAGA
RNAcentral lists this ribosomal RNA (855 nucleotides) under Troglosiro pseudojuberthiei. RNAcentral describes it as "SSU rRNA". Lineage: Eukaryota; Metazoa; Arthropoda; Arachnida; Opiliones; Troglosironidae. The record is from RNAcentral.